Long non-coding RNA from Actinia tenebrosa (Australian red waratah sea anemone), 673 nucleotides. RefSeq lists it as uncharacterized. The record is from RefSeq and is a predicted model, not a curated record. NCBI's taxonomy places the organism in Eukaryota, Metazoa, Cnidaria, Anthozoa, Actiniaria, Actiniidae.
GGCACCCAUCUUGGCAUUAUCCAACUUCCCUUCUAGUAAGUUCAAAAAUAGAGGUAGUUCUACUUAGAGAUCAAGAACAAUGAACAAGACGACAGCAUUUGCUCUAGUGUUUUGUGUAGUUGGUCUAUUGAUGGUCGGCAACGACGCUUAUACUGGUUUGUUUAGACCAAAAACAGAGGGCAGGAAGAAAUCUAUCAUUCCAGAAAAUUUACCGAAUGAUAGCGCAGAGAAGUUUCAAGAUGCCUUGGACUACCUGUGUUCUCUAGGACCCCAUGCAAGGAAAAGAUAUCAAGACGAAUAAAUCGAAUAUAGAUAACAGAUUAACUGACGACCAGUAACCCUCCAUUAGAGCUCUAUUAACAAGCUAAUGUGAACUGCGUAUGUGUAGAUUGACACGUGACUAUUGUUCACGUGAUAGUAAUACUUAUAUUAUGGAAAAUCCUCUGUGAUAGUGGAGGCAACACCCUUAGUUUUAUUAACUGUUAAAAUCUAAGCAAAGAGAGAUGACUUGCAAUUAUGGACGUAUAAUAUUUAGCUAAUGAUAGCUCUAUAUUUAACAAUGAGAUAAGCGAUAAUAUUGUAUUUAUUCAAAACGUUUGAGUUCAGAAGAUAAGCGAGAUAAAUGAAGGGCAAUGUCAAUAAUAAAAGUGAAUAAAAAAAUUAUCGACAGCAA